UUGAUUUCACACUGCCGAGAAAAGCCUCUAGAUAGAAAAUAGGUGCCCGUACCGCAAACCGACACAGGUAGUCAAGAUGAGAAUUCUAAGGUGAGCGAGCGAACUCUCGUUAAGGAACUCGGCAAAAUGACCCCGUAACUUCGGGAGAAGGGGUGCUCUUUAGGGUUAACGCCCAGAAGAGCCGCAGUGAAUAGGCCCAAGCGACUGUUUAUCAAAAACACAGGUCUCUGCUAAACCGUAAGGUGAUGUAUAGGGGCUGACGCCUGCCCGGUGCUGGAAGGUUAAGAGGAGUGGUUAGCUUCUGCGAAGCUACGAAUCGAAGCCCCAGUAAACGGCGGCCGUAACUAUAACGGUCCUAAGGUAGCGAAAUUCCUUGUCGGGUAAGUUCCGACCCGCACGAAAGGCGUAACGAUUUGGGCACUGUCUCAACGAGAGACUCGGUGAAAUCAUAGUACCUGUGAAGAUGCAGGUUACCCGCGACAGGACGGAAAGACCCCGUGGAGCUUUACUGUAGCCUGAUAUUGAAAUUCGGCACAG
Molecule: ribosomal RNA, 537 nt
Filed under: Staphylococcus aureus
Lineage: Bacteria; Bacillati; Bacillota; Bacilli; Caryophanales; Staphylococcaceae
Description: partial 23S ribosomal RNA
Rfam family: Bacterial large subunit ribosomal RNA
Source: RNAcentral